AUGAAUGGAGAAGAACCAUCGUGUAAACGUCAGCAUCCAGUCAUAUCUAAGGGACGAGCUAUGGGGGGCAGAUCCAGGACAUGGGAUGCUAACCAUCUGCUUGGGAUGGGUUUCUUUCAAAUCAGUGAAUGGAUUGGAGCCAUUGAAGUAUUUGAAUGGAGCAUAUGUAUGCAUAUGCUGCACUUCAUCUUAGGUAUAGCAGAUUUGGAGCUGGUAGCGUUGCGUAAGCACACAUCAAGUCAAACCGGACUUAAAUUGGUCAUAGCUUGGGAGGUGUGCCUUUAUGGCUUGCUUCCACGUGGAUUAGUAUUACUACUCAUCAAGAAACAAGAACCUAGGGGAGAAUGGAGCCCUCUCAGCGCUCAGGCACUCUCGACCGUCGGAUUGGCUUUUCAGUUUGUUCAAAUAAGAACGAGGUUCAAAAUUGAACUUGUUUUGCUAUAA
RNAcentral lists this ribosomal RNA (444 nucleotides) under Triticum aestivum (bread wheat). RNAcentral's name for it is "partial small subunit ribosomal RNA". The record is from RNAcentral. Lineage: Eukaryota; Viridiplantae; Streptophyta; Magnoliopsida; Poales; Poaceae.